This is a non-coding RNA of Camellia sinensis, 272 nucleotides long. Lineage: Eukaryota; Viridiplantae; Streptophyta; Magnoliopsida; Ericales; Theaceae. The record is from RefSeq and is a predicted model, not a curated record.
AGUUUCAUCAAUGUAGCAGAUUUUGACGUUGUAUCUACAGAAUGGGAAGUUGAGAGUGAUGAUGAAAGUGAGGAAGAAUCUGAAUGUGGGUUAACAACUUUGGUUGACAUGCCUCUUAACAGUUUUCCAUCUACAGUUUCUAAAGAAACUUUUGAACUCAAGAUCAAGGCUGCGGCAAAGAGGAUCUAUGUUGAUGUUGGUAUGCUCUUAGAACUAUAUAUGAGAAAUCUCAUAUUUUAAUCACUUGUUUUAAUCAUGGUAAGGCUGUGCUG